This 442-nucleotide ribosomal RNA is filed under the name uncultured bacterium. RNAcentral describes it as "partial 16S ribosomal RNA". It matches the Rfam family "Bacterial small subunit ribosomal RNA", at positions 338 to 795 of the family's 1533-position model. The record is from RNAcentral.
CCUACGGGAGACUGCAGUGGGGAAUAUUGGGCAAUGGGCGCAAGCCUGACCCAGCAACGCCGCGUGAAGGAAGAAGGCUUUCGGGUUGUAAACUUCUUUUGUCAGGGAAGAGUAGAAGACGGUACCUGACGAAUAAGCCACGGCUAACUACGUGCCAGCAGCCGCGGUAAUACGUAGGUGGCAAGCGUUGUCCGGACUUACUGGGUGUAAAGGGCGUGUAGCCGGGUUGACAAGUCAGAUGUGAAAUCCUGCGGCUUAACCGCAGAACUGCAUUUGAAACUGUUGAUCUUGAGUACUGGAGAGGUAGACGGAAUUCCUGGUGUAGCGGUGAAAUGCGUAGAUAUUAGGAGGAACACCAGUGGCGAAGGCGGUCUGCUGGACAGUAACUGACGGUGAGGCGCGAAAGCGUGGGGAGCAAACAGGAUUAGAUACCCCUGUAGUC